RNAcentral lists this long non-coding RNA (4632 nucleotides) under Homo sapiens (human). RNAcentral describes it as "long non-coding RNA NONHSAT217622.1". Lineage: Eukaryota; Metazoa; Chordata; Mammalia; Primates; Hominidae. The record is from RNAcentral.
CAGUACUGUUUGACAAACCGCAUCCUUGUCCUUCUUUCAGGUUGGCUGCAGAAGGUCCGAAGAAAGAGGAGUUACUGGAGGAAAAAGUGGUUCAGAGGUGACUAUUCAACCGCAUAAGAGAUGGUGAAAAUUAACCUAUCACCACUGCUAAUGAACAUCACCCUAUGGAGAACCGAGACACAAAAGGGAAGAUUCAGAAUGUGUGACUUGUAUAAAAUAAAACCAGUUUCCCCCGACCCCAACACCUUCUUUGAACAUCUCUUUCUCCACCUCUCAAAAAAUUUCCUACUGAGUUGGUCCUCUAGUGAAAAGAGCAGUUAAUAAGAUGGAAAGCAACUGGACGUGGUGAAGAAAAAGCCAGCGAACUUAGGGGUGAGACUGAAGCCCCUCAGGGUGGCUGAGCUGCUAUUUGAAAAAUUCCUUCAAGUCACGUGCGGCCUGUCAAGAGAUGAGGUGAAGGAAGAGAAUGAUAAAUAUCUAUCUCCAGUGGAAGGAUCAUUUUGAAAGAAGGGCUGUUAGAUUAAAAACCAAGCUAGCCAGGGAACGUUAAAGGAAGAGAAGUUCUCACAAGCAUUUUAAUGCCAAGCAUGUGUUCCAACGAGAGGAACACAGGAAAGCUCUUCAGCAGAUGAGAAAAUGAAAUUCGGCAUCACUAAUUCAUAGGAAUGAUAACAAAAACGGCAGUGAAGAAAAUCUGUGCAUUUUAAAAAAUGCAUGUUUUUUGCUUAGUGUUGUCCCUUCCCCUCCUGGCUUUUAGUAUACUGCAUUCAUUAAAGUAGCUGAGAAGAAAAAUAGUAGAUGCUGUUAACGUCAGGCCUGAGAGCUUCCAUAUCCUGUGUUGCGUUGAGUUUUGGGUUUGUUUCCUUAUUCACUGUCUUCUAGAUCUCAGACCCUAGCAGAAGGGGAUCUCUCACUCUCACCCAGGUUGGAGUGCAGUGGUGUGAUCACGACUCACUGCAGUCUUGAACUUGCCAGGCUCAAGCAAUCCUCCUACCUCAGCCUUCUGAGUAGCUGAGACCACAGGGAUGUGAAGAGACAGGGUCUCACUAUAUUGCCCCGGCUAAUCUCGAACUCCUGGACUCAAGCAAUCUGCCCGCCUCAGCCUGCCAAAAUGCUGGGAUUACAGGAGAUCCCCAGAGGCAAUUGUCCACCUGACUUCAGAAUCAGAAGUAGCUCUGCUUUUCCUGAGAAGUGGUGCGGGUUUUGCCUUAUGGAUGCUAACUGAGACUGGAACAUGUUCCCUUUUUUGUAUCAGCUGCUGGUACAAAAUUGAGAGUUGAGAGCCAAAACUGUACCCUUAUCACCUGUCAGUAACUUAAGGAGGAAGUCAGCUACCAUGCCUCCAGGACACUCAAGUAACCCCAUGGAGAUGACAUUGCAGAGAAGAACUGGUCGAAAGCCAGUACCCACUUUGCCAUCUGUGUGAACAAUCCACCUUUGAGUGGGUCCUCCAGCCCACAUCAAGCCUUCAUAUAACAGCAGUCCUGAAGGACAUUUUAUUGUAACCUCGUGAAAAUCGAAGUAGGAACUCACCAGCCAAGUUGCUCCUGAGGAGAAGUCAGGCACCAUGUUAUGAGGACACUCAAGCAACCCUGUAGAAAGUUCCAUGUGGUGAGGAACUGAUACCUCCAAUCCAUGGCCAGUACCAAUUUACUUAGCAUGUGAGUGCAUCCUGGAAGUAGAUCCUCUUGUCUCAGCCAUGCCUGAAGCUGACUGCCAUCUCAUGGGAGGCCUCAAGCCAGGACUGUCCAGGCGAGCUGCUCCCAUAUUCUUGAUCCACAGAAACUGUGAAAUAAUUAAUGUUUAUGGUUGUUUCAAGUCACUUACAUUUUAAGUUCAUUUGUUAUGCAGCAGUAGAUAAUGGAAACUCUGUAAACAGGAGCCCAGUCUGGGGAGGAUGGAGAUAGUAAUCAGGAGAGGCUUCCUGGAGGAGGUGUUAGCUGAGCUAUGUCUUGUAGAAUGAGGAGGAGUUCUGAGUAGGAGUUAGUGAGGCAGAGAGUGUUGGGGUGCUAAGGCUUUCCGGGCAGGAGGAACAAUAUGUAUAAAGGACCACUUCAGGCCCCAUCUUCUCUGCAAAGUCUUCCCUAACCAUUCACUGCCUGAGUCAUUCAUUUACUUACUCAUUCAUUCGACAAAGCUUUGAUGAGAGCCUCCUAUGUCCUGGGCUCCAUGCAGAGUACUGGGGUUGCUGUAAGUUGCAUAUUCUGAGACUGCUCAGUUAGGCAUAGAAAACUCAAAUGCCCACAAGGGCUAGGCAAGUAAUGCAAGCCAGGGAAGCUGAGUGGUGCACUGGGAGUCAGGGGUGAGGCCAGAGAGAAGCGGAGAGCCCAAUUCCCAAGAAAGGCCCACCAUUUCUCAGCUCCAGUUGUCAGCUGGCAUGCCAGAAUGUAAGCCCAAAUCUGGCCAGAUCUUCCAAUUUAUCAAGAUAUCUAGAAAUUGUAUUUUAGUAUAAAGUCUCCUAAUUUUCAAAAGGCAGCCAGCCCAAACUUGUUGUCAAAUUUCUCUCUUUCCAGCCUUCUGUUCAGGAGCUCCAUGAGUUGGCUGGUGGAGACUUCAGCUUCUCUCCUGCGCUGACCGCAAAACUUUGUCCUCUGCCUUCUGGUUAGCUUGAGUCCUGUGUGACUGGUGCAAUGACUAAUUGUCUCAAUAGUUUUCUAAGUGGUGGCAUGUAACACUUGAGCUCCACUGAUCUCCCAGGAGGGGAAAGAAAGUUGGUGUUUAUUCACAUGCAGACUUCCAUAGCUCCUCAGCAAAGCCCUCUGUAGCCCAACACCAUUAUGGUAAAGGUGUCGAAGCAAAAUUACAGAAUGUAAGGUAGUUAAUCUGGUGGACAGUGAGCACUUUGUGCAUUUCUGAAGCCACGAUACCUACUGAUAGCAUCCAGGGUUGGCCACCUAGUGACUUUUCAAGACACUGGUAUGUGGCUGUGGGAGUGUCCAUAUCUUAGAAAGAGGACAGUGAGUUUAUGGAAGCCUUCCUGUGUGCAAACAUGGGGCUGUGCAUACAGAAGCUUAUUUAAUCCUCCCAACAGCCCUGGAAGAUUGGUGUUAUCAUUGUUCUCAUUUGCAGAUGAGAAAACAGAGUCCCAGGGAAGCUUACUGAUUUGUCCAGGGUCUUGCAGCCAAUAAGAGGCAGGGCAGGCAUCUCUUCUGGGACUGUUAAGUCUAUGUUCUUAUCUACUCUGCUGUAAUUUUUCUCCCUGGAGCUGAAAAAAAGAAAGCACUGGGGUUUCUGAGUUCUUAUUGGAGAGGAACAGAGCAAUGACAAUCUGAUCGGAGGAGGGUCAGGCUGUGGGGCAUGUAAAGCAGUGCCUAUAGAGCAGGCACAGCUUAUUGUUUUGUUUUGUUUUUUUUUCUCUUAGAAUGAGGUGCUUUCCCUUCUUCUCCUCCUACCCCCAAGUAAGCCCUUGGUGAUGCCACUGAGAGGGACCUAGUUAUGAAAGGAAUUUCAAGGACAACCCAUAUGUCAGAUUUAGUGACAUAGUUUGUACUGAGCUUGUGAGUUAUUAGUCAGGUGAGUCUUUUUCUCUGUUGUAUCAUGUACCUUGAUCUGUGGCGGGAAGCGGCACAAAGGAGAGGAAAUGCCAUAGGCUUUGGAGCCUGGGAAAUGUAAGUUUCAAUCCAGAUUCACUCACUAACUAGGUGUGUGACCUUGGACGCGUUGUAGCCUGUCUGAGCUCCAGUCUCCCCUUCCGGCACACGAGGUCAAGAAUAUGCAAUUUACAGCAACCUCAGGGCUCUUCGUGGAGCCUGGGACAGAGGAGGCUCUCACCAAAGCCUUGUCAAAUGAAUAAGUAAAUGAAUGAAUCAGUCAAUGAAUGGUUAGGGAAGACUUUGCAGAGCAGAUGGGGCUUGAAGCGGUCCUGGAGGAUUUAAUACGUGGAAAAGAGGAGGGAGAAAAUUGAAGAGAGGGAAUUGUAGGCAGGGAAAUGACAUAACCAGCAGCUUGGUGGAGAGAAUUCCAGGCUUAGAGGAUAAUGAAAGGCCAAUAUGGCUUCUGGUGGAGGAGAGGAUGGCCUAGGAGGGGCCUGCACCGACUUCCCCAUCCUGAUUAAAUUUCCUCAGUGGCCAAAGAGCGCUAGGUGCUGACACUAAUAGUUCCUUUAACAGGGCCUUUCAUCUCCUAUUCAAAGUGCUUUGCAAGUGUUAAUUAAAUCUCCAAACACCUCAUGAGAUAAAUAUUAUUUAUCCACCUUUUGUAGAUGAAGACAUUUAGGCACAAAGAGCGGUGAUUUUCCCAGGGCAAUGUCUAGAUGGGUGUCCAUUCCCACCUUCAUUCCAGAAUUGCCAAAACAUGUCUUUAGAAGAAAGCAGAAAAAACAAAUCAGAUCUUUUUUGCCAUCCCCCCUCCUAUACCCUCAUACAUAUAAAAAACAGAAAUUAGGACAAAAAAAAGAUGUUAUUUCAGAUAUUUCUUAGUUAUUUUAAAGUCCCCCCAAUGCAUUCUCAAAUGUAUACCUCCCUUCCCAAUUUUUUAGAACUUACAGGUUACAAGGUUGAGAAAAUUGUUCAGUUGAAUGAUUCACAGGUAUAUUCAGGCCUAAAAAUCCAUGCUUUAUAUUUCUCGUCUGUAACACGGGACCCCUCUUUCAGAGUUGUUGUGAGGAUUAAAGGAGUAAAUUUAUACAAAAGC